RNAcentral lists this ribosomal RNA (374 nucleotides) under Salmonella enterica subsp. enterica serovar Hadar. RNAcentral describes it as "bacterial SSU rRNA". It matches the Rfam family "Bacterial small subunit ribosomal RNA", at positions 1 to 371 of the family's 1533-position model. Lineage: Bacteria; Pseudomonadati; Pseudomonadota; Gammaproteobacteria; Enterobacterales; Enterobacteriaceae. The record is from RNAcentral.
AAAUUGAAGAGUUUGAUCAUGGCUCAGAUUGAACGCUGGCGGCAGGCCUAACACAUGCAAGUCGAACGGUAACAGGAAGCAGCUUGCUGCUUCGCUGACGAGUGGCGGACGGGUGAGUAAUGUCUGGGAAACUGCCUGAUGGAGGGGGAUAACUACUGGAAACGGUGGCUAAUACCGCAUAACGUCGCAAGACCAAAGAGGGGGACCUUCGGGCCUCUUGCCAUCAGAUGUGCCCAGAUGGGAUUAGCUAGUUGGUGAGGUAACGGCUCACCAAGGCGACGAUCCCUAGCUGGUCUGAGAGGAUGACCAGCCACACUGGAACUGAGACACGGUCCAGACUCCUACGGGAGGCAGCAGUGGGGAAUAUUGCACAA